This 496-nucleotide ribosomal RNA is filed under the name uncultured bacterium. RNAcentral's name for it is "bacterial SSU rRNA". It matches the Rfam family "Bacterial small subunit ribosomal RNA", at positions 1027 to 1529 of the family's 1533-position model. The record is from RNAcentral.
AGUUGAGACAGGUGGUGCAUGGUUGUCGUCAGCUCGUGUCGUGAGAUGUUGGGUUAAGUCCCGCAACGAGCGCAACCCUUACAUUUAGUUGCUACGCAAGAGCACUCUAGAUGGACUGCCGUUGACAAAACGGAGGAAGGUGGGGAUGACGUCAAAUCAUCAUGCCCCUUAUGACCUGGGCUACACACGUACUACAAUGGCUAUUAACAGAGGGAAGCAAAACAGUGAUGUGGAGCAAACCCCUAAAAAUAGUCUCAGUUCGGAUUGUAGGCUGCAACUCGCCUACAUGAAGCCGGAAUUGCUAGUAAUCGCGGAUCAGCAUGCCGCGGCGAAUACGUUCCCGGGCCUUGUACACACCGCCCGUCACACCAUGAGAGUUGGCAACACCCGAAGUCAGUAGUCUAACCGCAAGGAGGACGCUGCCGAAGGUGGGGUUGAUGAUUAGGGUGAAGUCGUAACAAGGUAGCCGUAUCGGAAGGUGCGGCUGGAUCACCUC